RNAcentral lists this ribosomal RNA (1071 nucleotides) under Triticum aestivum (bread wheat). Its description in RNAcentral is "partial small subunit ribosomal RNA". The record is from RNAcentral. Lineage: Eukaryota; Viridiplantae; Streptophyta; Magnoliopsida; Poales; Poaceae.
AUGUCGCCAGAGCCAGCGGCGAAGCGUGCGAGCUCAGGCGGCGGCCAAGCCGUCGCCUUCGCGGGCGACCGUCUAAGCAACCUGCCGGACGGCCUCCUCCACGCCGUCAUGUCCUUUCUCCCGGCCCCGCAGGUCGUGCGGACGAGCGUGCUGUCGCGGCGGUGGAGGGACCUCUGGCGCUCUACCCCCUGCAUAAGCAUCGAAGAGCGCGACUUCGAGAUUACCACUGGGAGUGGGGCAGGGGGUGGCCUCGACGAGCGGGAGGAGAGAUGGCGCAAGUUCGAGGACUUUACCACCAACCUGCUCUUGUUCCACGACAAUGUCGCGUCCUUGGAUAAGUUCCUGCUAUAUGCUAGUGCUACUCGUGCCUGUGCACUUCGCCUCCGAGACUUGGAUAGAUGGGUGCGACGUGGUAUCAAAUACUGCCCCCAAGUGAUAGAGAUUAUUAUCUCUUCGUGUCCUCGCAUUCAGUUUCCUCAUAUGGGAGCGAGUUCUUCCCGCCUCAAAAGCUUGCAUCUUUAUGGUUUCUAUCUGAACAACCAAUUCGCCGAGCUGCUCUGUUCCGGGUGCCCUGUCCUGGAAGAUUUGGUGCUCAGGAGCUGCGUCAAAGGUUUUCAAGAAAUUAAGUCACGCACAUUGAAGAAGCUUGUUGUCGACUCCUGUCGCAGUCUCUCUGGUGAUCCGGUGGUUAUCGUGGCACCCCGUGUUGCGUAUCUCCAACUGGGUAUUUCAUAUGGAUGCUAUUCCAACGGUAUUUCGAUAUAUGAGACAGCUUCUCUUGUGAAAGCAUCAAUUCAUUUGCUUUGUCUUGGUGAAACAUUCAAUUUGAAAUGUCAACAACGGCUUCUCGGUAACCUGUGCAAUGUGCCGAAUCUGGAGCUAUCGGGUUUCGACGCAAUGGCGAUGCUCGUUGAGGAAUCGGUUAAAUUCCCAAUAUUUUCUAACCUGCAAACCUUGUCACUUGAACAAUGUUUGCUUGAUAAAUGUGAACUCAACACCAAGCUGGACGCUUUGUUCAAAAUGCCCCUUGUUUGGAGAAGCUUACCUUGCAGUGCUGCAUGUUUCCAGUAG